GGCGUGCCUAAUACUGCAAGUAGAACGCUGACUACUUUAGCUUGCUAGAGUAGAAGGAGUUGCGAACGGGUGAGUAACGCGUAGGUAACCUGCCUACUAGCGGGGGAUAACUAUUGGAAACGAUAGCUAAUACCGCAUAACAGUGUUUAACACAUGUUAGAUGCUUGAAAGAUGCAAAUGCAUCACUAGUAGAUGGACCUGCGUUGUAUUAGCUAGUUGGUGGGGUAACGGCCUACCAAGGCGACGAUACAUAGCCGACCUGAGAGGGUGAUCGGCCACACUGGGACUGAGACACGGCCCAGACUCCUACGGGAGGCAGCAGUAGGGAAUCUUCGGCAAUGGGGGCAACCCUGACCGAGCAACGCCGCGUGAGUGAAGAAGGUUUUCGGAUCGUAAAGCUCUGUUGUAAGAGAAGAACGUGUGUGAGAGUGGAAAGUUCACACAGUGACGGUAACUUACCAGAAAGGGACGGCUAACUACGUGCCAGCAGCCGCGGUAAUACGUAGGUCCCGAGCGUUGUCCGGAUUUAUUGGGCGUAAAGCGAGCGCAGGCGGUUUAAUAAGUCUGAAGUUAAAGGCAGUGGCUUAACCAUUGUUCGCUUUGGAAACUGUUAAACUUGAGUGCAGAAGGGGAGAGUGGAAUUCCAUGUGUAGCGGUGAAAUGCGUAGAUAUAUGGAG
This 678-nucleotide ribosomal RNA is filed under the name Streptococcus gallolyticus. RNAcentral describes it as "bacterial SSU rRNA". It matches the Rfam family "Bacterial small subunit ribosomal RNA", at positions 41 to 703 of the family's 1533-position model. The record is from RNAcentral. Lineage: Bacteria; Bacillati; Bacillota; Bacilli; Lactobacillales; Streptococcaceae.